Molecule: non-coding RNA, 27 nt
Filed under: Bombyx mori (domestic silkworm)
Lineage: Eukaryota; Metazoa; Arthropoda; Insecta; Lepidoptera; Bombycidae
Source: RNAcentral
UCGAUUAACUGGAUCUAUUGCGCUUCU